AGCGGAUGUAGUUCAGUUGGUAGAACGCUAGUCUUCCAAACUCGAUGUCGCGGGUUCGAGUCCCGCUAUCCGCUA
Molecule: transfer RNA, 75 nt
Filed under: Symbiochloris sp. SG-2018
Lineage: Eukaryota; Viridiplantae; Chlorophyta; Trebouxiophyceae; Trebouxiales; Trebouxiaceae
Description: tRNA-Gly
Rfam family: tRNA
About the family: Transfer RNA (tRNA) molecules are approximately 80 nucleotides in length. Their secondary structure includes four short double-helical elements and three loops (D, anti-codon, and T loops).
Source: RNAcentral